GCCUGCUAACUUCUUGGAGUUAGGCUGGCGGCGGAAUCACCAGGAGGGCUUGUUCAGUCAUAGAGGCUUGAGCCCCACCCUCAGAGUUUCUGGAGUCUGGCAAGCGGCUUGAGCCUUGGGAUUUUAAAAAAAGUUACCAGGUGAUUGUCAGGCACAGCCAGGCUUGAGAACAACUGCUACCUAAGAAAGCACUAGGCACAUGCAGCUCUGUCCUGCUCCUCUUGCCCUUCAGGAGCGAGCUCAGCACCAACAAGAGGGCGCUCUGGACCACCUUCUGCCAGGUGAGGGGCCUGUCUGUGAGCCUGUGCAGGCCCAGAGAGCUGCACCCUGGAGCCGGGGUGGGAGACACCACACAAGCUGACAACGGGCUUGAGAUGACUCCUUCAGGUCUCAGAGACUUGGAACUGGAUGCUGCAACCAGCCCAGUUUGGAGGGGAGCAAGUUGAGAUCCACACAGAGGAAGAGACAUACCCACGAGCACCCCGCAUGUCCCUGGCAAGCUGGGACUGAGCUUGGGUGUCCGGCUCAGGUCCCCCCAACGGGCCCUCAGGGACUCCGGGGAGGCCUCACCUUCCAGAGCCCACAGCUGAUGCUUCACCAGCCCCACCACUUCCUGCCUGUCCUCUGAGAGCACGAUCCCAAAGCCGGCCAGUAGGUAGGAGGCGUCCGUGGUGAUCCCCGCCCUCACCUUCUGGAUGGUGGGUACCACGCCCACCAGCAGCAGCAGGGCCACCUGGAAGAGCCCCAGAAUGAAGGUGCCAGGACCUGGCCGUGCUCACACCAGGCGGCCACCCCAGGAGAAGCGUUUUCUGAGCCAGCAGGGAGACUUCGGGGGAGAAACUGCGGCGGCACACGGCUGCAUCCACAGGGCCAGCACCCGCCAAAAUUCUUGUCUGCCCCGAGAACGGCGUCCUCCUGCCCCUACCCCGCACGCCGCGAGCAGGUCUGACUUUGGCCUAACAGGCGGCAGCCGUACUUCCAAGUGGCACAGCUGUGCACAUCUGUCUUUGGACAACUGUCUAAACCUCAGAACAUGAAA
This is a long non-coding RNA of Felis catus (domestic cat), 1039 nucleotides long. RefSeq lists it as uncharacterized. The record is from RefSeq and is a predicted model, not a curated record. The transcript is spliced from 2 exons. NCBI's taxonomy places the organism in Eukaryota, Metazoa, Chordata, Mammalia, Carnivora, Felidae.